UAGGGAAUCUUCGGCAAUGGACGAAAGUCUGACCGAGCAACGCCGCGUGAGUGAAGAAGGUUUUCGGAUCGUAAAACUCUGUUGUUAGAGAAGAACAAGGACGUUAGUAACUGAACGUCCCCUGACGGUAUCUAACCAGAAAGCCACGGCUAACUACGUGCCAGCAGCCGCGGUAAUACGUAGGUGGCAAGCGUUGUCCGGAUUUAUUGGGCGUAAAGCGAGCGCAGGCGGUUUCUUAAGUCUGAUGUGAAAGCCCCCGGCUCAACCGGGGAGGGUCAUUGGAAACUGGGAGACUUGAGUGCAGAAGAGGAGAGGGGAAUUCCAUGUGUAGCGGUGAAAUGCGUAGAUAUAUGGGGGAACACCAGUGGCGAAGGCGGCUCUCUGGUCUGUAACUGACGCUGAGGCUCGAAAGCGUGGGGAGCAAACAGG
RNAcentral lists this ribosomal RNA (429 nucleotides) under Gemmatimonadota bacterium. Its description in RNAcentral is "Gemmatimonadetes bacterium partial 16S ribosomal RNA". It matches the Rfam family "Bacterial small subunit ribosomal RNA", at positions 355 to 776 of the family's 1533-position model. Lineage: Bacteria; Pseudomonadati; Gemmatimonadota. The record is from RNAcentral.